RNAcentral lists this ribosomal RNA (420 nucleotides) under Melampus sincaporensis. RNAcentral describes it as "partial 12S ribosomal RNA". The record is from RNAcentral. Lineage: Eukaryota; Metazoa; Mollusca; Gastropoda; Ellobiida; Ellobiidae.
CAAGACUAGGAUUAGAGACCCUACUAUGUUGAGCCUAAACUUUUUCCAACUAAAGCACUAAAAUCUAAUACUGAUUAAAACUUAAAAAGUAUGGCGGUAGGUUUAACUUUCAGGGGAACUUGCCAAAUAAUAGACAACCCUCAAGCCAAGCCAACGACUUUUUUCCUGUUGAACAACCAAUAGUUUGUAUACCGCCGUCUGCAGGCCCCCCAUAAAGAGGGAGCCCCCUCGAAGAUGACCUUCAAUAAGACAGGCCAUGGUGCAGCUUAUAAAGUCGUCUUUAUCAAGGUGAGUUACAAUUAAAAAUUAACUUUACUAAUCGGACUUUUCAGAUGACCCAUGACUAUUAAUCAAACCAUUGAUAAAUAUGUCCCGCUUUGCUGAAAAAUUAAGAUGGACUUGAAAGUAAUUAAGCAUAUU